UGGGGAAUAUUGCACAAUGGGCGAAAGCCUGAUGCAGCAACGCCGCGUGAGUGAUGAAGGCCUUCGGGUUGUAAAGCUCUGUCUUUUGGGACGAUAAUGACGGUACCAAAGGAGGAAGCCACGGCUAACUACGUGCCAGCAGCCGCGGUAAUACGUAGGUGGCAAGCGUUGUCCGGAUUUACUGGGCGUAAAGGAUGCGUAGGCGGAUUUUUAAGUGAGAUGUGAAAACCCUAAGCUUAACUUGGGGACUGCAUUUCAUACUGGAAAUCUAGAGUGCGGGAGAGGAGAAUGGAAUUCCUAGUGUAGCGGUGAAAUGCGUAGAGAUUAGGAAGAACACCAGUGGCGAAGGCGAUUCUCUGGACCGUAACUGACGCUGAGGCAUGAAAGCGUGGGUAGCAAACAGGAUUAGAUACCCUGGUAGUCCACGCCGUAAACGAUGAGUACUAGGUGUAGGAGGUAUCGACCCCUUCUGUGCCGCAGUUAACACAAUAAGUACUCCGCCUGGGAAGUACGAUCGCAAGAUUAAAACUUAAAGGAAUUGACGGGGUCAUAGCUG
This 556-nucleotide ribosomal RNA is filed under the name uncultured bacterium. RNAcentral's name for it is "partial 16S ribosomal RNA". It matches the Rfam family "Bacterial small subunit ribosomal RNA", at positions 355 to 932 of the family's 1533-position model. The record is from RNAcentral.